RNAcentral lists this ribosomal RNA (433 nucleotides) under uncultured bacterium. RNAcentral describes it as "partial 16S ribosomal RNA". It matches the Rfam family "Bacterial small subunit ribosomal RNA", at positions 29 to 507 of the family's 1533-position model. The record is from RNAcentral.
AACGAACGCUGGCGGCAUGCCUAACACAUGCAAGUCGAACGAGACCUCCGGAUCUAGUGGCGCACGGGUGCGUAGCGCGUCGGGACCUGCACGUAGGCUCGGAAUAACACCCCGUCAGGGGUGCUAACGCCGGAAAAUUUCCUCUGAUCAAAGAUUGAACCCCCUUGGGUGGGCACGCGUUGGUUUAGCUGGUUGCUAGGGUAAAAGCCUAUCAAGGCUAGGAUACAUAGCUGGGUAGAGAGAAUGAUCAGCCACACUGAGACGGAGACGCGGCGCGGACUCCUACGGAAGGCAGCAGUGGGGGAUACUGCACAAUCGGGUAAGGCAUGAACCAGCAAGGCCUCGUGAGUGAUGAAGGCGUUAGGGUUGUAAAGCUCUUUUACCCGGGAUGAUAAUGACAGUACCGGGAGAAUAAGCACCGGCUAACUUCGUG